Molecule: ribosomal RNA, 939 nt
Filed under: uncultured archaeon
Lineage: Archaea
Description: bacterial SSU rRNA
Rfam family: Archaeal small subunit ribosomal RNA
Source: RNAcentral
UUCCGGUUGAUCCCGCCGGACCUUACUGCUAUCGAGAUGGGACUAAGCCAUGCCAGUCGAACGACCCGAACUAAGGCGGGAAGUGGCAUACUGCUCAGUAACACGUAGCUAACCUAACCUCAAGACGGAAACAACCCCGGGAAACUGGGGUCAAUUUCCGAUAGAUGUGAAAUCCUGGAAUGGUAUCACAUCCAAACGUCGCCACACCAUGUUGUGCGAACGCUUGAGGAUGGGGCUGCGGCCGAUCAGGCUGUUGGUGGGGUAACGGCCCACCAAACCUUUGACCGGUACGGGCCAUGAGAGUGGUAGCCCGGAGAUGGACACUGAGACAAGGGUCCAGGCCCUACGGGGCGCAGCCGGUACGAAACCUCCACAAUGCACGCAAGUGCGAUGGGGUUAUCUCGAGUGCUACCUUAACCGGUAGCUUUUCCAUUGUCUAAAUAGCCGUGGGAAUAAGGGGGGGGCAAGACUGGUGUCAGCCGCCGCGGUAACACCAGCCCCCCGAGUGGUAGGGAUGAUUAUUUGGCCUAAAGCGUCCGUAGCCUGCUAGGUAAAUUUCUCGUUAAAUCCAACGUCCUAAGCGUUGGGCUGCGUGAAAAACUGCCAAGCUAGAGGGUGGGAGAGGUCAGCGGUAUUCCUGGGGUAGGGGCGAAAUCCAUUGAACCCAGGAGGACCACCAGUGGCGAAGGCUGCUGACUAGAACACGCCUGACGGUCAGGGACGAAAGCUGGGGUAGCGAAUCGGAUUAGAUACCCGAGUAGCCCCAGCCGUAAACGAUGCAGACUAGGUGUUGGGUUGGCCACGUGCCGACUCAGUGCCACAGGGAAGCCAUUAAGUCUGCCGCCUGGGAAGUACGGCCGCAAGGCUGAAACUUAAAGGAAUUGGCGGGGGAGCACCACCAGGCGUGAAGCCUGCGGUUUAAUUGGAGUCAACGCCGGG